This 429-nucleotide ribosomal RNA is filed under the name Chloroflexota bacterium. Its description in RNAcentral is "Chloroflexi bacterium partial 16S ribosomal RNA". It matches the Rfam family "Bacterial small subunit ribosomal RNA", at positions 355 to 776 of the family's 1533-position model. Lineage: Bacteria; Bacillati; Chloroflexota. The record is from RNAcentral.
UGGGGUAUCUUGCACAAUGGGCGCAAGCCUGAUGCAGCCAUGCCGCGUGUGUGAAGAAGGCCUUCGGGUUGUAAAGCACUUUCAGCGGGGAGGAAGGCGAUAAGGUUAAUAACCUUGUCGAUUGACGUUACCCGCAGAAGAAGCACCGGCUAACUCCGUGCCAGCAGCCGCGGUAAUACGGAGGGUGCAAGCGUUAAUCGGAAUUACUGGGCGUAAAGCGCACGCAGGCGGUCUGUCAAGUCGGAUGUGAAAUCCCCGGGCUCAACCUGGGAACUGCAUUCGAAACUGGCAGGCUAGAGUCUUGUAGAGGGGGGUAGAAUUCCAGGUGUAGCGGUGAGAUGCGUAGAGAUCUAGAGGAAUACCGGUGGCGAAGGCGGCCCCCUGGACAAAGACUGACGCUCAGGUGCGAAAGCGUGGGGAGCAAACAGG